RNAcentral lists this ribosomal RNA (235 nucleotides) under uncultured bacterium. RNAcentral's name for it is "partial 16S ribosomal RNA". It matches the Rfam family "Bacterial small subunit ribosomal RNA", at positions 15 to 240 of the family's 1533-position model. The record is from RNAcentral.
GAUCCUGGCUCAGGAUGAACGCUAGCUACAGGCUUAACACAUGCAAGUCGAGGGGCAGCAUGGUCUUAGCUUGCUAAGGCCGAUGGCGACCGGCGCACGGGUGAGUAACGCGUAUCAACCUGCCUUACACUCUUGGACAGCCUUCUGAAAGGGAGAUUAAUACAAGAUGUUAUCAUGAGUAAGCAUUUUCGCAUGAUUAAAGGUUUACCGGUAGUAAGAGUGGGGAUGCGUUCCA